RNAcentral lists this long non-coding RNA (493 nucleotides) under Nicotiana benthamiana. RNAcentral's name for it is "long non-coding RNA (NBEN_LNC042627)". Lineage: Eukaryota; Viridiplantae; Streptophyta; Magnoliopsida; Solanales; Solanaceae. The record is from RNAcentral.
CUAAAUUCAGAACAUGUAUAUGAAAUUUGAAAAAAAAAUUAUACUUCCAAUAUCUAAAGGACUAAAAGCAAUGAAGAAAAAGGAAAAGAAAAGGAGAAGUUUCCAGAUGAGCUGUGAUUAUUUGCUUCAACCAAGAGCGAGAGACCUACUUUUGCAGUAAGGAAAGAGUCAAGCUACUCAAAGCAAAGCCUAAAGUGUGAGGUAUCCAUAUCAGAAACCUUUAAUCAGGCUAAUUCCAAUUCAAAUCUUUAAUCAGGCUUCAAAUUGAUGAGAGAAGCAAAAGUCUAAACUGACUCGAGCUCGAAUAACUUGGCAGUUAUUAAAAAGAUUUCAUUGCAAAGGAUGGUUUAUAAAGCUCAAAAACUUCUCUCUUUGAUUCACGUAUUUUCAUAUUACACAAACAAUGAUUGUCAGACAAUCAAGAAUCAUAUGUGUGUAGACAUUUUGGUGUAUAAUUGAUUUACAUUUCUAAGUACAAAGAAAUGAUGUUUUA